The submitters of this non-coding RNA (91 nucleotides) gave its source as unclassified sequences. The record is from Rfam.
AAGAUGCAUUAGGAAAGGGGUUAUCCCUGCCAACCUGCAUACCGUGCGAAGGUGGUAAUAUAUGCGGCCAAAAGGCAAAAAUUAGGUCUCA